This 309-nucleotide ribosomal RNA is filed under the name Triticum aestivum (bread wheat). RNAcentral describes it as "partial small subunit ribosomal RNA". Lineage: Eukaryota; Viridiplantae; Streptophyta; Magnoliopsida; Poales; Poaceae. The record is from RNAcentral.
AACGUCUUCAACUUCUCAGACGAAGAGGAGAAGCUGCAGUGGACUCCAGCCGAGUUCCGGAGGCUCCGCAUCCAGCCGCUCGACUUCGUACGCGCCGUCUUCACGGCCCUGGUGUUCCUCACCGUGGCUUUCAGCGACGUGGCGCUGCAGAACUGUUUCUUCCCAAGUGCCGGCAGGAACACCGAGGAGCUUUUGAAGAACCUGCCACUGGGCAUCGCAUUUCUGUCCAGUUUCGUGUUCAUGAUCUUCCCCACAAAGAGGAAGGGCAUUGGCUACACCGACACCACUCCUCGCCAAAAGCUCACUUGA